This 67-nucleotide transfer RNA is filed under the name Marmota monax (woodchuck). Its description in RNAcentral is "tRNA.Val". Lineage: Eukaryota; Metazoa; Chordata; Mammalia; Rodentia; Sciuridae. The record is from RNAcentral.
GGUUGUGGCUCAGUGGUACAGUGCUUGCCUCACACAUGUAAGGCCCUGAGUUCGAUCCUCAGCACCA